CACUCGCCUAACGAGUGGGCGUCCGGCGGAAACUCCAGGGCUUGGGACCGGAAGACUUGAGGGGUACGUCUGGGGUAGGAGUGAAAUCCUGUAAUCCUGGACGGACCGCCGAUAGCGAAAGCACCUCAAGACGACGGAUCCGACAGUGAGGGACGAAAGCUAGGGUCUCGAACCGGAUUAGAUACCCGGGUAGUCCUAGC
This 200-nucleotide ribosomal RNA is filed under the name uncultured archaeon. Its description in RNAcentral is "partial 16S ribosomal RNA". It matches the Rfam family "Archaeal small subunit ribosomal RNA", at positions 552 to 751 of the family's 1478-position model. The record is from RNAcentral.